AUACGGAGGAUGCAAGCGUUAUCCGGAUUUAUUGGGUUUAAAGGGUGCGUAGGCGGUUUGCUAAGCGGGAGGUGAAAUGCCGGCGCUCAACGUCGGAAGUGCCUCCCGAACUGGUGGACUGGAAUGACUCUGCCGUGGGAGGAAUGUGUAGUGUAGCGGUGAAAUGCUUAGAGAUUACACAGAACACCGAUUGCGAAGGCAUCUCACGAAGGGUUGAUUGACGCUGAGGCACGAAAGCGUGGGGAUCAAACAGGAUUAGAUACCCUGGUAGUCCACGCAGUAAACGAUGAUGGCUAACCGCUGGUUUAUUCGGAUCAGUGGCCAGGCGAAAGCGAUAAGCCAUCCACCUGGGGAGUACGACCGCAAGGUUGAAACUCAAAUGAAUUGACGGGG
Molecule: ribosomal RNA, 393 nt
Filed under: uncultured bacterium
Lineage: Bacteria
Description: partial 16S ribosomal RNA
Rfam family: Bacterial small subunit ribosomal RNA
Source: RNAcentral